AUUGAACGCUGGCGGCAUGCUUUACACAUGCAAGUCGAACGGUAACAGGCCGCAAUGUGCUGACGAGUGGCGAACGGGUGAGUAAUGCAUCGGAACGUGCCCAGUCGUGGGGGAUAACUACUCGAAAGAGUAGCUAAUACCGCAUACGAUCUAUGGAUUAAAGCGGGGGACCGUAAGGCCGCGCGCGAUUGGAGCGGCCGAUGUCAGAUUAGGUAGUUGGUGGGGUAAAGGCUCACCAAGCCAACGAUCUGUAGCUGGUCUGGGAGGACAACCAGCCACACGGGGACUGGACCACGGCCAAGACUCCUACGGGAGGCACCAGUGGGGAACUUUGGACAAUGGGGGCAAGCCUGCUCCAGCAAUGCGGCGUGCAGGAAGAAGGCCUCCGGGUUGUAAACUGCUUUUGUACGGAACGAAACGGCUCUGGUUAAUACCCGGGGCUAAUGACGGUACCGUACGAAUAAGCACCGGCUAACUACGUG
RNAcentral lists this ribosomal RNA (482 nucleotides) under uncultured bacterium. RNAcentral describes it as "partial 16S ribosomal RNA". It matches the Rfam family "Bacterial small subunit ribosomal RNA", at positions 30 to 507 of the family's 1533-position model. The record is from RNAcentral.